GAUGAAGAACGCAGCGAAAUGCGAUAAGUAAUGUGAAUUGCAGAAUUCAGUGAAUCAUCGAAUCUUUGAACGCACCUUGCACCCUUUGGCAUUCCGAAGGGUAUGCUCGUUUGAGUGUCAUUGUACUCUCACACUUCCGAUCUUUGGAUUGGGAGCGGUGGACUUGGGUGUCGCUGCUUACUGUGGCUCACCUCAAAUCGAUUCGUGCACCUCUUGGUUGGACAUAGUACGGCGUGAUAAGUGUCUUCGCCGGCACCUCAGUAGAGGGUGGCUGAUCGGGAGCUCUGCUUCAAACCGUCCUCGGACAACAACUGACAACUUGACCUCAAAUCGAGUAGGACUACCCGCUGAACUUAAGCAUAUCAAUAAGCGGAGGA
Molecule: unclassified non-coding RNA, 377 nt
Filed under: soil metagenome
Description: partial contains 5.8S ribosomal RNA, internal transcribed spacer 2, and large subunit ribosomal RNA
Rfam family: 5.8S ribosomal RNA (bases 1-120)
Source: RNAcentral